AGAUUGAACGCUGGCGGCAUGCCUUACACAUGCAAGUCGAACGGCAGCGCGGGGCAACCUGGCGGCGAGUGGCGAACGGGUGAGUAAUGUAUCGGAACGUACCCUGGAGUGGGGGAUAACGUAGCGAAAGUUACGCUAAUACCGCAUACGAUCUAAGGAUGAAAGUGGGGGAUGCGCAAGCACCUCAUGCUCCUGGAGCGGCCGAUAUCUGAUUAGCUAGUUGGUGGGUAAAGGCCUACCAAGGCAUCGAUCAGUAGCUGGUCUGAGAGGACGACCAGCCACACUGGAACUGAGACACGGUCCAGACUCCUACGGGAGCAGCAGGUGGGGAAUUUUGGACAAGUGGGCGAAAGCCUGAUCCAGCAAUGCCGCGUGAGUGAAGAGCGUUCGGUGUAAGCUCUUUGCGUAGGAAGAACGGUGAGGUACUAAUACUCCUUGACUAA
RNAcentral lists this ribosomal RNA (443 nucleotides) under uncultured soil bacterium. Its description in RNAcentral is "bacterial SSU rRNA". It matches the Rfam family "Bacterial small subunit ribosomal RNA", at positions 26 to 476 of the family's 1533-position model. The record is from RNAcentral.